UACGGAGGUGGCGAGCGUUACUCGGUGUUACUGGGUGUAAAGGGUCCGCAGGCGGCCGAAUAAGUAAGAGGUGAAAUCUCCCGGCUUAACCGGGAAACUGCCUCUUAUACUGUUUGGCUAGAGGACAAGAGAGGAAAACGGAACUGCCGGUGUAAGGGUGAAAUCUGUGGAUAUCGGCAGGAACGCCAGUGACGAAGGUGGUUUUCUGGCUUGUACCUGACGCUCAGGGACGAAAGCUAGGGGAGCGAACAGGAUUAGAUACCCUCGUA
RNAcentral lists this ribosomal RNA (269 nucleotides) under uncultured prokaryote. Its description in RNAcentral is "partial 16S ribosomal RNA". It matches the Rfam family "Bacterial small subunit ribosomal RNA", at positions 524 to 792 of the family's 1533-position model. The record is from RNAcentral.